Paramuricea clavata is the source of this 622-nucleotide non-coding RNA. NCBI's taxonomy places the organism in Eukaryota, Metazoa, Cnidaria, Anthozoa, Malacalcyonacea, Plexauridae. The record is from the annotation of a GenBank genome assembly.
AAAAUUUGAAUUUGCGCGUGCGAGGUUUUAUAUAUUGAAUUAUUUCAUUUCAAUGCCGUCAAAUACUAGUUAAAAUCAACAAUUCAAAUUUUGAAUAAACACAUUAUAGUAAAUACUGGAUUUCACUUGUUUGACAAAUACGGUGGCUCACAAGGGUCACCACAAAAGAAAUAAAAAUGCACACACAAAUAAAAAAUUAAAACCAUGUGUAACAAAUAAAAACCCACACAAAUAAAAAAAAUGUACAAAAUAAACCUUUGUCCAUCACAAUUAAAAGUAUUACUUGCGAAUUAUAAAACAAAUGUAUGCAAAGAAAAUUAUAGGGCACACACAAACAAAAAAGAACACACACAUAAAAAAAGUGAAGGCACACAAAUAACAAAAAUGAACACACACAAACAAAAACGAACACAGAAAUAAAAAAAGUGAACACACAAAUAAAAAAGAGUGAACACACAAAUAAAAAAGAGUGAACACACAAAUAAAAAAGUGAACACACAAAUAAAAAAAUUGAAUACACACAAACAAAAAAGAACACACAAAUAAAAAAAUGAAACUGUGCACACGCAUGACGUCACAUGUAUGAACCACUGAGCUAUAUAUAAUUGGAGCUAUAUAUUUG